CCGAGUUUACAACUCCCAAACCCCUGUGAACAUACCACUUGUUGCCUCGGCGGAUCAGCCCGCUCCCGGUAAAACGGGACGGCCCGCCAGAGGACCCCUAAACUCUGUUUCUAUAUGUAACUUCUAAGUAAAACCAUAAAUAAAUCA
RNAcentral lists this unclassified non-coding RNA (147 nucleotides) under soil metagenome. RNAcentral describes it as "partial internal transcribed spacer 1". The record is from RNAcentral.